GUGGGGAUAGCUUAGUUGGGAAAGCAUAAGAUUGAAGAUUUAAAGGUUGUGUGUUUGACCCACACUCACCACA
Molecule: non-coding RNA, 73 nt
Organism: Gossypium hirsutum (cotton)
Lineage: Eukaryota; Viridiplantae; Streptophyta; Magnoliopsida; Malvales; Malvaceae
Source: Rfam